CGACUCUCGGCAACGGAUAUCUCGGCUCUCGCAUCGAUGAAGAACGUAGCGAAAUGCGAUACUUGGUGUGAAUUGCAGAAUCCCGUGAACCAUCGAGUUUUUGAACGCAAGUUGCGCCCGAAGCCUUCGGCUGAGGGCACGUCUGCCUGGGCGUCACGC
Molecule: ribosomal RNA, 159 nt
Filed under: Silene nutans
Lineage: Eukaryota; Viridiplantae; Streptophyta; Magnoliopsida; Caryophyllales; Caryophyllaceae
Description: 5.8S ribosomal RNA
Rfam family: 5.8S ribosomal RNA
About the family: 5.8S ribosomal RNA (5.8S rRNA) is a component of the large subunit of the eukaryotic ribosome. It is transcribed by RNA polymerase I as part of the 45S precursor that also contains 18S and 28S rRNA.
Source: RNAcentral